AUACGUAGGUGACAAGCGUUAUCCGGAUUUACUGGGUGUAAAGGGCGUGUAGGCGGUUUAGCAAGUCAGAAGUGAAAUUCCCGGGCUUAACUUGGGCGCUGCUUCUGAAACUGCUUUACUUGAGUGCUGGAGAGGAUAGUGGAAUUCCUAGUGUAGCGGUAAAAUGCGCAGAUAUUAGGAGGAACACCGGUGGCGAGGGCGGCUAUCUGGACAGUAACUGUCGCUGAGGCGCGAAAGCACGGGGAGCAAACAGGAUUAUAUACCCUGGUAGUCCACGCUAUAAACGAUGAGUGCUAGGUGUCGGGGGUCGAACCUCGGUGCCGCAGUUAACACAUUAAGCACUCCGCCUGGGGAGUACGGUCGCAAGGCUGAAACUGAAAUGAAUUGACGGGG
Molecule: ribosomal RNA, 393 nt
Filed under: uncultured bacterium
Lineage: Bacteria
Description: partial 16S ribosomal RNA
Rfam family: Bacterial small subunit ribosomal RNA
Source: RNAcentral